This is a long non-coding RNA of Dreissena polymorpha, 575 nucleotides long. RefSeq lists it as uncharacterized. The transcript has 2 exons. NCBI's taxonomy places the organism in Eukaryota, Metazoa, Mollusca, Bivalvia, Myida, Dreissenidae. The record is from RefSeq and is a predicted model, not a curated record.
UGUCGCAUAAUUGGUGUAUUUCAUGUAUAUUCCUUGUUCGGUGUAACUGAAUACAUAAUAUCUGUCUUCAUGAAGAAAUGCAUAAAUGGGCAUCAUAUGUCAUCGUCAAAUUAGACGAGAAAAAUGCACCAAGUUAUUGCCCAUGGCUGGGUUCACUAAUUAGUUAUGUCUAUGGUAAGCACAUGCAGCACUGUUAAUUUGUGUAUAUUUUCAUGUUAAAUGACAGGUGAACUUUCAUAUAUGCAGUUAAACAAACGUGGUCUCGCUUAAUUAUUGGCAUAUAUAUGCACAAGAUAUGUAAGUCACACAUAAAGCCAUCCCGUAUCAGGUAAUUCAACUCAUGUUAAAGUCAAUCAUCCAGACAGCCGUCACCCAAUUUAUUUGUCCAUUAUUGUAUAAAUUGGCAUCUGCGUUGUAUGAAGAGGAGUCCUAAGUUUGACAAUCGAGUAGAGUAGUCACGCUUUCUUGACGUGGUGGCCAUGUCGGCCACCGCGAUGUAAAAUUGUACUUCAUGAACAUUGGAAGCGUUGUGUUAGAAAUUAUUUAACAGAAAUAAAUCUCGAUAAAAACAGAAA